AGUGAUUCUGGUUCCGGCGCAACAAAGGGGACAAAAUCCAAUCUGUUUGAAAGGGAUACAAAUGGCCGUCCUUUAACAGAUGGCCUGCUGUCCAUGUCAGCUGGCAGACUCCUUAUUCUCCCUGGCUCCCAAGCUGACCCUGCUGAUCCUAACAUCUGCACUGAUGUGUGAUGUUCAUACUGUGGAUCACGUCAAUUUAUGAUAUGCUCAGGUUUCCCAGAGGCUGGAGCACAACAAUAUUCAAUCAGGAACCACACAGCAACAGCAGCAGCGAUGAGGACGAGAGCGAGAACCACCACAACAACCGCGAUGAUGACAGUCAUGUUAUUCUCUUCAUUGGUCCUGAUGUCUGCUUUGUCCAGUUUGGUGACGAUGUCCUCCUUCACACCUGAGAGCUGAAACACACAGGUGUACCUGCUCCAGUCUUCAGGUGUGACUGAUGAAAGCUUCAGCUCAGCACUCAUCUGGAAGGUUCCAUC
Molecule: long non-coding RNA, 479 nt
Organism: Scatophagus argus
Lineage: Eukaryota; Metazoa; Chordata; Actinopteri; Scatophagidae
Exons: 5
Source: RefSeq, a predicted model, not a curated record